AGUGAACGCUGGCGGUAGGCCUAACACAUGCAAGUCGAACGGCAGCACAGUAAGAGCUUGCUCUUACGGGUGGCGAGUGGCGGACGGGUGAGGAAUACAUCGGAAUCUACUUUUUCGUGGGGGAUAACGUAGGGAAACUUACGCUAAUACCGCAUACGACCUACGGGUGAAAGCAGGGGAUCUUCGGACCUUGCGCGAUUGAAUGAGCCGAUGUCGGAUUAGCUAGUUGGCGGGGUAAAGGCCCACCAAGGCGACGAUCCGUAGCUGGUCUGAGAGGAUGAUCGGCCACACUGGAACUGAGACACGGUCCAGACUCCUACGGGAGGCAGCAGUGGGGAAUAUUGGACAAUGGGCGCAAGCCUGAUCCAGCCAUACCGCGUGGGUGAAGAAGGCCUUCGGGUUGUAAAGCCCUUUUGUUAGGAAAGAAAAGCAGCAGGUUAAUACCCCGCUGUUCUGACGGUACCCAAAGAAUAAGCACCGGCUAACUUCGUG
Molecule: ribosomal RNA, 492 nt
Filed under: uncultured bacterium
Lineage: Bacteria
Description: partial 16S ribosomal RNA
Rfam family: Bacterial small subunit ribosomal RNA
Source: RNAcentral